GAUCAUGGCUCAGGAUGAACGCUGGCGGCGUGCCUAACACAUGCAAGUCGAACGAAGCACCUUACUUGAUUCUUCGGAUGAAGGUCUGGUGACUGAGUGGCGGACGGGUGAGUAACGCGUGGGUAACCUGCCCUGUACAGGGGGAUAACAGUUGGAAACGGCUGCUAAUACCGCAUAAGCGCACGAGAGGACAUCCUCUUGUGUGAAAAACUCCGGUGGUGCAGGAUGGGCCCGCGU
This 237-nucleotide ribosomal RNA is filed under the name uncultured bacterium. RNAcentral's name for it is "partial 16S ribosomal RNA". It matches the Rfam family "Bacterial small subunit ribosomal RNA", at positions 15 to 236 of the family's 1533-position model. The record is from RNAcentral.